GACGAACGCUGGCGGCGUGCUUAACACAUGCAAGUCGAGCGGAAAGGCCCUGCUUUUGUGGGUUUCUCGUGUGGCGAACGGGGGAGUAAAACGUGAGUAACAUGCCCUUGUCAUUGGGAUAACUUCACGAGACUGGGGCUCAUACACGGUAGGAGCUCCUGCACCACGGGGGGGGUUGGUAAAAGUCGGCUGUGGGGGAUUGGCUAGCCGCUUAUCGGCUUCUUGGGGGGGUUGUGGAUUUCCAAGGUUUUGACGGGAAGCCGGCCUGGGAGGGUGACAGGCCACCCUGGCUCUGAGGGGCGGCACAGGCACCUACGGGAGGCAGCAGGGCGGAAUAUUGCACGAUGGGCGGAAGGCUGGUGCAGCAGCGCCGCGUGCGGGAUGACGGUCUUCGGGUUGUAAACCGCUUUCGCCUGUGACGAAGCGUGAGUGACGGUAACGGGUAAAGAAGCCCCGGCUAACUACGUG
Molecule: ribosomal RNA, 468 nt
Filed under: uncultured bacterium
Lineage: Bacteria
Description: partial 16S ribosomal RNA
Rfam family: Bacterial small subunit ribosomal RNA
Source: RNAcentral